Molecule: small nuclear RNA, 164 nt
Filed under: Zea mays
Lineage: Eukaryota; Viridiplantae; Streptophyta; Magnoliopsida; Poales; Poaceae
Description: U2 spliceosomal RNA
Rfam family: U2 spliceosomal RNA
About the family: U2 is a small nuclear RNA (snRNA) component of the spliceosome (involved in pre-mRNA splicing). Complementary binding between U2 snRNA (in an area lying towards the 5' end but 3' to hairpin I) and the branchpoint sequence (BPS) of the intron results the bulging out of an unpaired adenosine, on the BPS, which initiates a nucleophilic attack at the intronic 5' splice site, thus starting the first of two transesterification reactions that mediate splicing.
Source: Rfam by way of RNAcentral
CUCAUUUUUCGGUCUUCUGGCUAAGCUCAAGUAUAAUAUUUGUUUUACCAGUUUAAUAUCUAGUAUAUGAACAAUAUGUUCACUUUGAUAUUAAAUUCAUUUAUUAUAGGAAUUUUUAUGUGGAGGAUCCAUUAAGACUCUCAAGUAUCUCUUAGUCACCCAAU